This is a long non-coding RNA of Apus apus (common swift), 1376 nucleotides long. RefSeq lists it as uncharacterized. The record is from RefSeq and is a predicted model, not a curated record. Lineage: Eukaryota; Metazoa; Chordata; Aves; Apodiformes; Apodidae. The transcript has 3 exons.
GCGGGCGAGGAGGCGGGCAGCACCCCCUCCUUCGCCUCCACCUUUAAAUGUGUUCCCCCCCCCGGCAGGGGAAACCGGCUCCGAGGGUCCUCGGCGCCCGGGCCGGGCCCCUCUCCGCCUUCCUGCCAGCGAGGGGCGGGCUCCGCUGGGUUCGCGGAGCUUUUGGCACAAAGGCGACCGCCAGCCGCGGAGUAGGAGCCGACCCCUUACUCGUGACCUGAGGAAAGGAAAGUGAACCUCGCACUGUGGGGUUUCCCUUUUAUUACAGGUUCCUUUGGAGGCUUAGUUCACGGAAUUUCUCUGUGGGAUGGGAAAGUAGCCACCUAAGUAAGAGCAGAUCGGAGAGGGAUGCGAUGAAGUGGCUCGUUUGAGGGGGAAGGGAAGGUGGGGGUCACAGGCUUUAGCCACAGACGUGCUCCGGCAAAGAGUCCUUGAGGACAGCGUAUGGCUGGGUCUUGCCUCCUCUGCUUGCUGUGAACUCUCCUUUUUCCAUAACCGACACUUCAGGCAGCAGGUGGUGGGACAGAAGACACAACAUCGUGCCCAGAAAAUGAAGCAAGCACAUCGGAUGAGGAAUGCAAAAGAGGGCGCAAACGUUUUCUAUUCAGCCUUCAGGACUGGUGCGUUCAGCAAAAUAGCUAGGUGCAUCAUACAAAGCAUUUUCUGUCCCUCACCUGCAUUUCCUCUUGGGCCUGUUUGUUUAAACCACACACCCAGCCCUUCACUUAAUUUCGUUUUUUUACUUCUGGUUCAUCAACUUCUAAGUCUGCCAGUUACCACAAGGCGGACCGGGCUUACAGUUUUCACUGUAAACUUCUGCCACUUUGAAGAGCUUUCUGCCUGUCAGUCAUGCUAAAGAUGAUGAAUGGUCACAGCCUGGCCAGACAGGUGUUUAAAAUGCCACUGCCCAGCGCUUUUGAAAGUAAACACAGCUUCACUACCCCCAGUUGCCACCUUGUGGCACCUGAUAAACAAGCGCUCUUCAGUUUCAUAGCUUCUUGGGAGACGUGUCCUGAUGACCCACAUUCUGAAAAACAUCUUUGGCAUUUCAGACUACAAAAGCGAAUGGAGCACGUGUGGGACAGCUGUUGAUUUGAGGAGCAGCUUGGGCAGGACUGAAGCAGGAACUGGGGAGUAAGCAAAGAGCUGCUGGCAGAGCAGAUGAAACUUCAUUGUUAUUAUUAAGGAAGAGACUAUUAAGAGAAGAAAUCAGAGAUCCUGUGGUAGAGAAGUGAAACUCUCUCUUCUUGUUAGAAGACCAAUACAGAGCAAUACAUUGGAGUUUUUUAAAUGUCUUUCAAAUUUUAUAAAUAAAAUGUUCACACAUCGUCUCUUCCAUCUGUUUUAGUUAUCUAAAGUAUCACUAAGAUGUUUUU